This 21-nucleotide unclassified non-coding RNA is filed under the name Chlamydomonas reinhardtii. RNAcentral's name for it is "small RNA Cre_2162". The record is from RNAcentral. Lineage: Eukaryota; Viridiplantae; Chlorophyta; Chlorophyceae; Chlamydomonadales; Chlamydomonadaceae.
UAAUGCGUGUGGCGGUAGCAG